This 421-nucleotide ribosomal RNA is filed under the name uncultured bacterium. RNAcentral describes it as "partial 16S ribosomal RNA". It matches the Rfam family "Bacterial small subunit ribosomal RNA", at positions 360 to 773 of the family's 1533-position model. The record is from RNAcentral.
AAUCUUCCCCAAUGGACGAAAGCCUGAUCGAUCACUGCCCCUUGAGCGAACAAGGUUUUCGGAUCGUAAAGCCCUGUGGCAAGGGAAGAACACGUACGGGAGUAACUGCCCGACACAUGACGGUACCUUAUUCGAAAGCCCCCGCUACCUCCGUUCCAGCAGCCGCGGUAACACGUAGGGGGCAAGCGUUGUCCGGAAUUAUUGGGCGAAAAGCGCGCGAAGGCGGUUCUUUAAGUCGGAUGGGAAAGCCCACGGGUCAACCGUGGAGGGUCAUUGGAAACUGGAGAACUUGAGUACAGAAGAGGAAAGCGGAAUUCCACGUGUAGCGGUGAAAUGCGUAGAGAUGUGGAGGAACACCAGUGGCGAAGGCGGCUUUCUGGUCUGAAACUGACGCAGAGGCGCGAAAGCGUGGGGAGCAAAC